GAACGCUGGCGGCGUGCUUAACACAUGCAAGUCGAACGAUGAUCAGGAGCUUGCUCCUGUGAUUAGUGGCGAACGGGUGAGUAACACGUGAGUAACCUGCCCCUGACUCUGGGAUAAGCGUUGGAAACGACGUCUAAUACUGGAUACGACUGCCGGCCGCAUGGUCUGGUGGUGGAAAGAUUUUUUGGUUGGGGAUGGACUCGCGGCCUAUCAGCUUGUUGGUGAGGUAAUGGCUCACCAAGGCGACGACGGGUAGCCGGCCUGAGAGGGUGACCGGCCACACUGGGACUGAGACACGGCCCAGACUCCUACGGGAGGCAGCAGUGGGGAAUAUUGCACAAUGGGCGAAAGCCUGAUGCAGCAACGCCGCGUGAGGGAUGACGGCCUUCGGGUUGUAAACCUCUUUUAGUAGGGAAGAAGCGAAAGUGACGGUACCUGCAGAAAAAGCACCGGCUAACUACGUGCCAGCAGCCGCGGUAAUACGUAGGGUGCAAGCGUUGUCCGGAAUUAUUGGGCGUAAAGAGCUCGUAGGCGGUUUGUCGCGUCUGCUGUGAAAUCCCGAGGCUCAACCUCGGGCUUGCAGUGGGUACGGGCAGACUAGAGUGCGGUAGGGGAGAUUGGAAUUCCUGGUGUAGCGGUGGAAUGCGCAGAUAUCAGGAGGAACACCGAUGGCGAAGGCAGAUCUCUGGGCCGUAACUGACGCUGAGGAGCGAAAGCGUGGGGAGCGAACAGGAUUAGAUACCCUGGUAGUCCACGCCGUAAACGUUGGGCGCUAGAUGUAGGGACCUUUCCACGGUUUCUGUGUCGUA
Molecule: ribosomal RNA, 809 nt
Filed under: bacterium RBA-1-33
Lineage: Bacteria
Description: bacterial SSU rRNA
Rfam family: Bacterial small subunit ribosomal RNA
Source: RNAcentral